This 497-nucleotide ribosomal RNA is filed under the name uncultured bacterium. RNAcentral's name for it is "partial 16S ribosomal RNA". It matches the Rfam family "Bacterial small subunit ribosomal RNA", at positions 28 to 507 of the family's 1533-position model. The record is from RNAcentral.
GAUGAACGCUGGCGGCGUGCCUAAUACAUGCAAGUCGAGCGAACAGACGAGGAGCUUGCUCCUCUGACGUUAGCGGCGGACGGGUGAGUAACACGUGGAUAACCUACCUAUAAGACUGGGAUAACUUCGGGAAACCGGAGCUAAUACCGGAUAAUAUAUUGAACCGCAUGGUUCAAUAGUGAAAGACGGUUUUGCUGUCACUUAUAGAUGGAUCCGCGCCGCAUUAGCUAGUUGGUAAGGUAACGGCUUACCAAGGCGACGAUGCGUAGCCAACCUGAGAGGGUGAUCGGCCACACUGGAACUGAGACACGGUCCAGACUCCUACGGGAGGCAGCAGUAGGGAAUCUUCCGCAAUGGGCGAAAGCCUGACGGAGCAACGCCGCGUGAGUGAUGAAGGUCUUCGGAUCGUAAAACUCUGUUAUUAGGGAAGAACAAAUGUGUAAGUAACUAUGCACGUCUUGACGGUACCUAAUCAGAAAGCCACGGCUAACUACGUG